Macaca fascicularis (crab-eating macaque) is the source of this 471-nucleotide long non-coding RNA. The record is from Ensembl. Lineage: Eukaryota; Metazoa; Chordata; Mammalia; Primates; Cercopithecidae.
AUGGCAUGCCUGUCUUUCUCAAGCACACCCGUGUUGCCUCUGUACUUCCUAGGUGGUGUGGGCAUGGAAGGAAGGCCAGUGGAGACAAUGGAUGAUCUUGCUCUUAGAAGAUCACUGGAGGUGGCAGGGAGUCCUAGGACACGUGUGGCGUGGGCCUCUUCAGGUGCUGGUGCUGUUGGCAUGAAAGGAAAGGAGGUAUCUUCGAGGGACAAUCUUCGCCUUGUGCGAUCCUCGGAGAUGCCACGAGGACUCUGGACACAUGUGGUGCGGGCUCCUUUGGAGGCUGUUGACUCCCUUCUGAAUGUAGCACUGGCAUGGAAGGCAGGCCCGUGUUGGCGAGGGACAAUUGUUAUCUCAUGUGAGCCGCGGAGAUACCAGGAAGCCCCUGGACACAAUGGCAAAGACUCCCUCGGAAGUUGUUGGAUCCCUUCUGAAUGUGGCGUUGGCAUAAAAGGCGAGCUUGUAUCAUGA